GGCGAGACCAGCCGUUUAUCAUUACGAUAGGUGUCAAGUGGAAGUGCAGCGAUGUAUGCAGCUGAGGCAUCCUAACAGACCGAGAGAUUUGAAC
Molecule: ribosomal RNA, 94 nt
Filed under: Smilax china
Lineage: Eukaryota; Viridiplantae; Streptophyta; Magnoliopsida; Liliales; Smilacaceae
Also listed under: 9 other names
Description: 4.5S ribosomal RNA
Source: RNAcentral